Ruditapes philippinarum (Manila clam) is the source of this 223-nucleotide long non-coding RNA. RefSeq lists it as uncharacterized. The transcript has 3 exons. The record is from RefSeq and is a predicted model, not a curated record. NCBI's taxonomy places the organism in Eukaryota, Metazoa, Mollusca, Bivalvia, Venerida, Veneridae.
AUGACAACAAUAAAAUGACUGUGUCAUUCGUCGAAAAUGAAGUAUUGAUUUCGUGACGUCAUUUAUCGGCCAUUUUCUCGACCCGGCGUGCAAAGCAAAGACAUAAUUAAAUUUUAAAAGCCAAAAACGCUUAGUUGGAAGUGUCUGGAAUUUUUUUUCAAGAACUCAAGUUUUUUGAUAGGCUGACAGAAACAUACAGAUUUUUCCCAGAGAAGAAAGUUUU